Molecule: non-coding RNA, 70 nt
Filed under: uncultured eukaryote
Lineage: Eukaryota
Source: RNAcentral
AACCUCUUCAAGAUGAAGGCCUUAGUUCUAGGGGCUCGCCUCAUGUUUUGGAUUAGUUAUUCGUCAGCUU